CUUGUUUUGCUCUGUGCCCAUGCUCCUUCGGGGGCGGCCAUGGAUGCGGAUAUUGGCACUCCGUGCUUCGUGUGCGGCGGGCUUAAGCGGGGGCUGUCGGCGUCAGGAUGGACACAAUGAGUGGUGGACGGAGCACCAGCAGGAUGUCGUGGUCCCCCGUCGCCUUAAGGGGCUUAAGAGACCCGGACUAGGUGAGCCGUGCUCCGUACGAGGAGGACGAGCCGUCUCGCAAU
RNAcentral lists this unclassified non-coding RNA (233 nucleotides) under Lilium michiganense. RNAcentral describes it as "ITS 2". Lineage: Eukaryota; Viridiplantae; Streptophyta; Magnoliopsida; Liliales; Liliaceae. The record is from RNAcentral.